Molecule: ribosomal RNA, 492 nt
Filed under: uncultured bacterium
Lineage: Bacteria
Description: partial 16S ribosomal RNA
Rfam family: Bacterial small subunit ribosomal RNA
Source: RNAcentral
AGUGGACGCUGGCGGUAGGCCUAACACAUGCAAGUCGAACGGCAGCACAGUAAGAGCUUGCUCUUACGGGUGGCGAGUGGCGGACGGGUGAGGAAUACAUCGGAAUCUACUUUUUCGUGGGGGAUAACGUAGGGAAACUUACGCUAAUACCGCAUACGACCUACGGGUGAAAGCAGGGGAUCUUCGGACCUUGCGCGAUUGAAUGAGCCGAUGUCGGAUUAGCUAGUUGGCGGGGUAAAGGCCCACCAAGGCGACGAUCCGUAGCUGGUCUGAGAGGAUGAUCAGCCACACUGGAACUGAGACACGGUCCAGACUCCUACGGGAGGCAGCAGUGGGGAAUAUUGGACAAUGGGCGCAAGCCUGAUCCAGCCAUACCGCGUGGGUGAAGAAGGCCUUCGGGUUGUAAAGCCCUUUUGUUGGGAAAGAAAAGCAGCAGGUUAAUACCCCGCUGUUAUGACGGUACCCAAAGAAUAAGCACCGGCUAACUUCGUG